GAAAUGGUGAAGGGUAGUUCCAUUACAUCCACCAGCCAGCUUGUUGAAAAAAAUAAACGGCUAUUUAAAUCAAAUUUAUUUUUCUUUAAGAACUAUUAUUGCUCUUUAUGUUCAAUUUUUGUUUUCUCGUGACACUUCUUUGCAGGUUCAUCAAUAUAAUUUUUGCUCAAAUUAUAGAAACCACACUAAUGAUAAUUUUUGUUUUUUUUUUUUUUUUUGUCCUUUAAAUUAUAGAAACCAUACUAAUGAUGAUUUCCAACUUCAUGCAUAUGCCACUUUUGGGAUUUGAAAGUUUAAUAACUGGGGAACUCAUAGUGGAGCCCCAUGGGGUUCCUUCUCUUCUUUCUAAGUCAUCAAUAUUGUUUUAUUUCCUAUGGUGUGGCCUACCUAGUUUUUGGAAUACUGCACUUUUUAGGUAGUUCUUUCAUCUUGACAAGGAACAUUAGAAGAAUGGUUUUAAUGUAAUCUACAGGUUUGUGGGAGAUACAUGUGCAUUGACAACUAAUAUUUUAAUGGGGUGGAUCUUAUGAAAGUUCCACCCAAGGGGCUCUCAGUUUGUUAGCCUGGUUCUUUUUGGAUAAUGGGAGAUAUGUGUACAUUGACAACUAAUAUUUUAAUGUAAUCUAUAGGUUUAUGGCUAAUGAUGGGAAGAUGAAGCUGAAGGUAAUGCUUCUAACCCAUUCCUCUUCAGAAAUACAUUCUAGAAAACUUCAGAACUUUGGUCUGAUUUCUAUUCUUGAUUAUACCUACAGUGUCAUUCCAAAUCAGCCUGGAAAGUAAGUCCAAUUAUACCUACAAUGCCAUUCCAAAUAUCUUUUUACAAUGUACAUGAUGCAUUUCUCAUAAGAAUCUAGAGUAUUACGUUUUGGAUUUUGAACAUUCCUCAGCAGAAAUUUUUAGCAUCUCUACCUUUUGCUAGUUCUAUAUGCAUUACAAGUUUCAGUUAAGAUGAUUGCCGGAGUUUCCUUGUUGAACUACCAUAGGUGUUCUUAUGUUGUUAUAGAUUUCACAGGAGACACAUUUUCGCACCUAGCAAGUGAACAAGUUUGCCUCGCUUGGUCUAAAACGACCUCCCCUCGGGUCAAGAGUGCAUCGAGCAUAUCCAAAAACCAGUUAGGUACAUAAAAGGCCAUCACAUUGUGGAGCUUUUCAUCUGCUUAACGGACUUUCAUUGAAUUGUAUUUUUAUUUUAAAGUCUUCCAUUGUAGAUUUUAGUUUUUACUUUCAGGUUUGCAAGUCAGAUAAAUAAUGUUUCAAAUUACAUCAUGGUUGUUUUUACUAUCUUUUGAUUCUUAAAUGAAUAUGGCUUAAAUAUAUUUUAUUUUAUUUUAUACAGCAGGUUUUUUUUUUUU
This is a long non-coding RNA of Magnolia sinica, 1352 nucleotides long. RefSeq lists it as uncharacterized. Lineage: Eukaryota; Viridiplantae; Streptophyta; Magnoliopsida; Magnoliales; Magnoliaceae. The record is from RefSeq and is a predicted model, not a curated record. The transcript is spliced from 2 exons.